CCUGCCGUACACACAGAUUCACAAGAGGUCAGGCCACGGAGACCCAUCUGUUUGGUUCCACUGUCCCCUGGGGGGUUGUAAGAGGGGUUUGCUGCUCUGAGGCUUGUGGCUUGUCUUCUCAUUAUGCUUUUCACUUACCCCAGAGGGCUUGGGUGACUCCCAGAUGGUCCUGAUGGCAGUUAAACACAGACUAAGAGGAAGUGGGAUUAACUCUCAAUACCGGAGGCACAAUUUUGGCAUAAAGAAUAGCUCCUGACAGAUAGUAUCUUUAUAGGAUGUUCGGUGAGCAACGGUGGGGCAUUUGGGGAAUGUGAGAAUUAGCGCACAAGAGGCUGAGGAUAUGAGCUUUGGAGCCAGUUUGCCUGGAUUCUACCCCCUCCCCCCCAGAUCAACUGCAUACUAGCUGUGUCCCUUUGGGCAAGUUACAUAGUCUCUCCGAGCCUCAGUUUCCUCAACUAUAACACGGUGAGGAUAGUGACAUUACCCUACCUCAUAGGGCUAGUGCAAGGAUUAAAUCAGUUAGUGCUUAGAAAAUGGGUUUUAGGCCCUUAUGAUAAUAAUAAUGAUGAUGACUCUUCGUGUGAUUAUUCUACUCCCAAAAAAAUGGAAAACUCUGGACAAGUCUUAGCUGUAUCGGGCGGUGCACAUGUGAUCUUGGGGCUGGAUUAAUGGCUCUCUGAAGGCAGGGACCAUGUUUUAUUCAUUGAGGUAUUCUACCUGUCACAUGGUAUAUUUUAAAUAAAUAUUUGCGGUGUGCAAUAAUGCCUGGAGACAGAGAGACAGGCCAGGAGUCUCAGCCAGGGCUGCCUCUGUCAGAAAGCCGUGUGGCCAUUUCUCCCGACAGUUUCAUCCCUGGCUGGAGGCUCUCUGCCCAGUGUGGCAGGUGGGCAUGGUGACGCCUGCACGCAGGAGCGUCGUCGGGCUGUCACCGGUGUCACGUGGCAACACGCUGUAGGGCCCGGUGCUUCUCCAACCAAGUAGCCACCGAGAUACAACAAGAUGCCACAAUCCCACAAUCCGGCAGUGAUUCCCACCAAACUCCCCGCCCCCGCCCAAGCCCCUCCCCUCUUCCUUUCCAGGCACAUAAUGGAUCUAAAUAUGAAUGCUGUCAAAGAAAAGAAUUAUUGAGGUUUAAGUGAAUCCUUAAGAUAGCUCUAAAGUGAGCUCUUGACUGGAGCCUUUAUCUCAUUGACUCACUGAAAUGGCUCUUUUUUAUCAUACUAUUUAUGGCAACAGCCCUAACAGAGAUAAAUAGCCUUGGAGACAAUAACAGAGUUGCCAGAGCAAGGCAUACAGAAGAGACUGGAAGGUUUCAAAUCCCCCCAGACCCAGAGCCUCUUCAGCAAUCUCCCUCGGCCUCUGCCUCUGUUAAAGUCCAGCGGGUGGGCCUGGGAACUAGAAUGGGCCCAUCGUCCGCUUCCUGUUACCUAGGCCGGCCGCCAGUGGCAGGUGGGAGGGCACUGCGGGGGCGUAGGUGACCGUGAGAAAGAUCUAAGGGGAGAAAGCUCGGGAAAGAAACAGGAAGAAGCUUGUUCCCGAGUGCUCCUGGGAGGCAGAGGUGCCGGAAGAAGAGAUGUGCCCAUAGGGGGGAGGGACUGAUUGUCUGCCACAGGUAGAGGACAGAGGAAAUCACAGGCAAUCCUGAUGUGGCUCGGCCCUUCUAGAAGCCACAGCCUACCCAGACAGGAGCAUGACAGGGGUGGUGUGGGGCCACCGGGAGACUCAGGCACUGUGGUAGAUCCGUGGCCUCCGGCACAGGCUGGGGAGCACGGUUGUCCGUGCUGUUGAAUAAAUGAUGAUCCCCCAUCUGUAAGGGGUGUGUUCCGUGUGACAAGUGCACCGGCACAGAAGCGGGGAGGGCCAGGCAGGGGGCAGGGUGCGGAUGGUGUGGCUGCACGCCCACAGCACAGGGAGAGGACAGGUAGUCUAGGACACUUCCACAGAGCGGGGACAGCUGGCAGGUUCUCUGGAGGAAUCAACCCUCCUGGUGGGAGAUUCAGCUGGCUGGCCGCUCGGCCUCACGGAGGGGAAACAGUUUUAGCCCCCUUUGCCACUCCUGGGGCGUCGGAAUCUGUACCACUUGUCUGACCUGAAUGGUGACUCCCUCACUGCCUGGGUUCUGGUGAGAGCAUCGUGUGAGUGUGUGUGUGUGUGUGUGUGUGUGUGUGUGUGUGUGUACGCGCGCGCGCGCGCGCGAAACUUCUGGAGGAGUCUCUUACCUCCAAACCCAAGCAGGGAACCCAGUAUUUGUGGGCUCAAAUCCAGUCCGGAUUUUGCAUCUGUGAGGCGCCCACUUCCCUCCCUCCCUCCAUAGCCCUCGCAACACCUGCUGCAGAGGCUGGAAGCCAAGAGCUAUUGUGCAGGACCCUGAACUCUGGCCCCCCGCCUCCGCCUCCACCCCAAACCCGGCACAUUUCAUGGAGAUGCUUUGCUGGCUGGCACGAAGCCACAGAGCUUCCAGCUCCAAUGGGGAACAGAAUUCCUGGCCAGCUCCCGCCUUUGGGUUGUCACCCUAUUCCCUCCCUGGGGGCUCUUGGAAUUAGGAAGUUUAAGUGUGAUUUUGCAUUUCUAUGGAGCUGGGAUUCUACCGGCAGGGAUGCUUAUGAAUAGGGGUGUGAGGCAAGUUAGAGUGAGGUGCAGACUUCUCAAAAUCUUGAAUUAAUGAGGCCAGAAGGGUCCUCUCAAAGGUUCAGAGCUCAUGAUAACUAUUUUGAUUCGGAGAGCCUAUUCUGGGCUUCCGUACUUCCAAAACAUUUAUUAUUUCAUUGAAUGCUCAUGGUUUACCUUCCAGGUAGGCAUUAUUCCUAUUCAGCGCCCGGAAAGUGGAGGCCCAGGGUGGUCAGUGCACCAUGCACAGACACACAGCGGCUCGCUGGAGUCCGGGUUCCCCCACCCUAGCGCACUGCUAUCUGCACGCUGACGGCAAGAGGCACCUCGUUCAGGGUGCACCGAGGAGGUUCUCGGGGGUUCUCCACCCGCCCUUGUGAGUUUUGCCUGUACCACUACCCUUCCCCGUGUUGACAAGGUGCAGCUUCAGAGAAGCCAGGAGGGCAGAACUCGGACAUGAAAGCAAGGCAAAGGCACUAACACUGGGAAGGAAGGACCCCCCCCUCCUUGGCCUCUCUUCCUGCUCUCCAACCUCGAUGAGAAUUACUGGAAAUUCCCCUCUCCCCGCGCAAGCCACUGUCACAGCCUCAUCAACCCUCCCAGGAAAGCACCUGGUGGUCUACACCCCGGGGCCCUUUUUCAGAACGCUCCCCAACUUACAUGUUGUGCAAAGCACACCAGCCGCAGUGAGGGUCCCCCGAGCUCAGACACUCCCCACAGGUUGUGUACUGUUCACAGGACUCCACGGGGACCCUGGUGAUCUGGCAGAGAGACGAGAGAGAGCACGGUUAGAUCAGAGGCAGCAGCAAAUCGUCCUGCGUCCUUCUGCCUGCCACCAAAGUCCUUCUGCCUGCCGCCCAAGUCUGUGCGGGAAAUGGGCUUGCGGUAAGUGCUGAAAAUGGUUAACUCUGCUGAAAGCCUAUUGAGUGCCACCAACUUGUCUCUGAAGGGCUUUCAGCUGGGCUUGGGCUGAGACAUCCUGCCCGCACAGAAAAAUUUAUAAAGGGAGAGAAGGAGAAACUUUUCCUAUCAAAUAAUAUUCAUUGCAUGGCAGUCUCUUUACAGCCAACCAAACAUACCACCUGGAUCCAAUUAUCCCAUUCUCUGAUGUCUGCAUUCAGUUUUUCUAGUAAAUCUCCCAUCCUUUGAAAAGUCUGGCUACAUGGGAACAUUCACGGAGAUGAGCUGCCUGCCUGAUUCCGCCUUGCUGGGGAAAGUGACAAUUUACAGACCAAGCCCCUGUCCCCCCACUCCAAGGGUGUAGCCCCAGCGAACUCCUGCCAGCUUCCCCAACAGGGACUUGAGCCAGGCCUGUUUGGACCGGACACCUCCACCUGUCCAGCGUGUGUGACAUUCAGGCCAGGUAAGGGGGCCAGAGGACAGAAGUCUUCCAUUUGUCACGCUAGGUACCACCACUGGCUGGGGCAGCAGGGCUGCUGGGCUGCGAAAACCACUGGCCGGGCUGGGGAUGGGUUGUCCUCUGUCGGGGUACAGAGGUCCCCCCCCCACCGGAUGCGUGACCUCAAGUACAAAUGCAAGCCAGUGUCCUAUCGCACGGUGCUCUGCCUCUGGCAGAGGGACAGAGGAUCUGCGAAGGCACUUUCACAGCAUCAUCCUGAGAGGCUUGGGAUACAUCUAACGUGCUUAUCUAGCAAAUGUUUAUCAGAUGUCAUUAGAGGGAGGCUCGGGUGCCGGGUGAGAGAGAAGUGCCAGCCAUCAGGGCGUAGAUCCUGCCCCGCAGAGCUCAAGUCCAGGGGGAGCUUGUCAUUGCAAAGAUGGAGCUCCUCACAUGGGACGGGGGUGAACUUAUAGGCGGGGUGCAGGGUACAACCUGUUUGGAGAAGGGGCCACUGGGAUAAGCGGGAGUCAGGGUAGUAGUGGGCCCAUGCACAGACCCAGAAGGGCAGCGCGAGAAGUGAUCAUCACGAGCAAAAGUAAUCGUGGGUAAGUUCAGCAUAACUCAAGGGUGUACCCCGGAUGGGCCGGGGUGAGAUGCAAGGGGGGUGCACUCGGGGGCCAGACGAUGAAGGGUCUCGUGGACCAGCCCCCAGGAAGCGUCCGUUCUAUGUUGGGUGUCCCUCCUUCCCACCACCUCAUAACACCUAAGAGUCAUAUGACAAGGCUUUCCUAGAAGUGAGUGGCAUAAUCAACUCUAGACAUUCCUAACCUCCUUUUAGUAACAAAAAUAUAGAGGGGCGCCUGGGAGGCUCAGGCUAGUAGGUGUCCGACUCUUGGUUUUGGCUCAGAUCAUGAUCUUGUGGUCCGUGGGUUCGAGCCCCGCGGCUGCUUGGGAUUCUCGGUCCCUCUUUCUCUGCCCCUCCCCCAUCACGCUUGUGCGCUUUCCCUCAAGAUAAAGAAAUAAACUUAAAAAAAAAAAAAAAGCAAUGCGGGAAGGAUAAUCGUAAAGCCUUGCAAUUCAGUUGAAAACACUGGUACUGUAAGUGGAGGCUGGUCUGAAAUAGCUCCCAUGUAGCCGACCUGAGGGUUUGCAUCGACUCGAUGCCCAGCGUGCCCUGACGGGGUGAUAUAAGAGCUCAAGGGGCUAAUUUGUUCAUGGGCUGCAGAAAUAAUGUCAGGAUGGAGACAGGCCACCCCACUCUGGGGACUUCCCAGCUCAGGCCUCUGCUCCAAGAGCGCGUUGUUCAACCGGGUAGAGCCUUCCCGGAAGAGUGGUUAGGCUGCGGUCUGAUCUAGAUGCAGCAUCCAAGGUACAGCUUAUGGAUCUGGGAUGUUUAUUUAGAGGUGGCCGUGGAGGCGGUUUCCCAACGUUCGGAGGGCGGCGCUGUGGCCGCAGGACGACUCAUGGGUAAGAAGUUUCAGGAAAGCCCAACCUAGGGAAGUCAAGGCUGUCCAAUAACGCAAAGCCCUCACUUCCGGAAGGGACUCCCGUCACUGGGAUGCGUAAGCAGAGUCGAGGUGACAGGUGUCUGGAAGGCUGUGAAAGCCAUUGCUGCCCUCCCUCCGAGGGAGGCCGCAUUUGUCCUUCAAUUUUGAUGUUUGGGAUUUGAUUUCCCAUGGUUUACCUAACUCCUCCCCGAGACUGGUAGGAUUUCUGCCCUGAACGACUUGGUACAGUUAAAAGCGAAUAUCCAGCCAUUGCCACCAGGCACUGGCAUCACCUUGCCUUAAGAAGCAACCCUUCCCCCCUGACUCAUGGCCUGUGAUUCCUACAAGGAGCACCUUUCUGGAAGGUACCUGCCAGGCACUCUCCUAGCGUGCCUCUCCUGGGCCUGAGGCUCUCAGCCCUUCAGGAUAUCUGUGACCCCACUGCCGGGGAUGGCUUCCGCCCGCCCCCUCCAGCCCGCCCUCUGAGGCCUGAGCGCAGCAACCCAGCGCCCAGCCUCCCUUUCUUGGGUUUCGGGAUCCGCGUGAGUGAUGUCUGCAUCUGGCUGGAAAUUAAAACAACUGUCUGCAUUGCAUUCGGCCCGUCUGUCAAAACACAGCCCGGCUCUCAGCAGCUGGGAAAGGGGGCCCUGAAUGGGAGCAGUGUCCCCAGCAACAAAGCCCACUUUCACGCCAAGUGCCACGGAGAUAGUGAGAACCCUGUUCUUCUCCAAACAUGAAACCAAGAGCACAACUAUUUUUCCUGUUUCCUGGGCCCUCCUGGUGGGAAUUUCUCUCUUUUUUUUGUAAUGCACUGAGUGGAAGAGAGAAGUGAAACAGGAAACUUACGGGGGGGGGGGGGCGGUUUAAGACUCGAAUGAUGCCCUCCUCAAAGAUGUAAUAGCCAUGCACAAACCAGAAGCCAGAAAUGUCACAGGGACCGGGAGGAGACCCUCAACGUGACAUGUUUCUGUGGGCUCUCUGUCUUUGCUACGUUCAUGUGCUUCUAUAUUCACUCAUCAGCCGAUACUCACGGACCACAUCCUACAUACAGACCAGCACUAGGCACUUCAGGGUAAUGAAAACAACAGCCGCAGUAAAACACAGCCAUCACCUUCAAGUCGCAAACAGACUAGCAAUAAAACAAGCAAGCAAACGAACAAACAAACCCCAAGAAGGUGAUGUGUGUUCUAAGAGCGGCAUUGCAAGAGAGCUGAGGGAAUUCAGAGCAAAGAGAAAAUACUUUUACGUCUUCUGGGUCCAACGCGAUAGCCACUCUCUCUUGCGGCUAUAAGCAUCUGAAAUGUGGCUAGUUCAAACCGAGAUGUGCUAUCAGGACACAACAAACCCUGCGUUUUGAGGACUUUUGUAUGGAAAAAAAAAAAAGGAAAAUAUCACAUUAAUAAUUUUUUAU
This is a long non-coding RNA of Felis catus (domestic cat), 6844 nucleotides long. RefSeq lists it as uncharacterized. The record is from RefSeq and is a predicted model, not a curated record. The transcript has 2 exons. Lineage: Eukaryota; Metazoa; Chordata; Mammalia; Carnivora; Felidae.